RNAcentral lists this ribosomal RNA (468 nucleotides) under uncultured bacterium. RNAcentral describes it as "partial 16S ribosomal RNA". It matches the Rfam family "Bacterial small subunit ribosomal RNA", at positions 28 to 507 of the family's 1533-position model. The record is from RNAcentral.
GACGAACGCUGGCGGCGUGCUUAACACAUGCAAGUCGAACGGAAAGGCCCUGCUUUUGUGGGGUGCUCGAGUGGCGAACGGGUGAGUAACACGUGAGUAACCUGCCCUUGACUUUGGGAUAACUUCAGGAAACUGGGGCUAAUACCGGAUAGGAGCUCCUGCUGCAUGGUGGGGGUUGGAAAGUUUCGGCGGUUGGGGAUGGACUCGCGGCUUAUCAGCUUGUUGGUGGGGUAGUGGCUUACCAAGGCUUUGACGGGUAGCCGGCCUGAGAGGGUGACCGGCCACAUUGGGACUGAGAUACGGCCCAGACUCCUACGGGAGGCAGCAGUGGGGAAUAUUGCACAAUGGGCGGAAGCCUGAUGCAGCAACGCCGCGUGCGGGAUGACGGCCUUCGGGUUGUAAACCGCUUCCACCUGUGACGAAGCGUGAGUGACGGUAAUGGGUAAAGAAGCACCGGCUAACUACGUG